Molecule: long non-coding RNA, 1500 nt
Filed under: Coffea arabica (coffee)
Lineage: Eukaryota; Viridiplantae; Streptophyta; Magnoliopsida; Gentianales; Rubiaceae
Description: long non-coding RNA (CARA_LNC007093)
Source: RNAcentral
UAGAAUUGAGUAAAAUCAAAAUAAAGGAGUAGAGUGUACCUCUCUUGAAUUGGUGACCUAAUGAAACGAAAAUUCUCUUAUUUACCCUCCAAAAGAAAGGAAAUGGUCAAGGCACCAAUUUAUUUGAUAAACACAAAACAAAUCAUUUGAAAUCAACUCAAGGUUCCUAAAAUUUAGAAAUUAAAUGCCAUUUAAACUAAACAAGUAGUUAAACAAUUCAACUUUAUCAAACAAAAUGCAAAUUAAUGAUUCAAACGUCAUCACCUUAAUUCACUAAAUUAUGGAGCAUUCAAAAUCUAAACUCAACAAGUUCACUUGAAAUUCUAUUGACAAAACUCGAGUUAACUCAUAAAGAUUUGCAAACAUUGAGAAAAUUUCGGGAGUCAAAUUAUUAUUACAAAUAUUAGGGGGUGAAAUCAAAGCAAAAAUAAAGCCCUCAAGACCAAUUAAGUUCUAAUUAUUUCCUAAAACCAGAAAAUAACUUUGUCUAAAACAUGGUUAAAACAUAAAAGGAUUGAUUGAAUUUCAAAAAGGGUAAAAUUGAUUGAGUUUUCCAUAUUCUUGUGCCAUAACAGCAUUACUUAGAAAACUAGGGGUUAAAGUGCAAUUUUUGAAACUUUUCAUGCAAAGGGCGAAGCUUUCUUCUUCCUUCGUCUGCAACUUCACAACUAUGACCUAUGACGUUCAGGUCAUACGCAGCUAAUAAAAUUCAAACAAAUAGCAAUCUUACGAACCAAAACAACACUUUAUGCAUCUUAUCAUCAAAACCCAACCAUAUAUUAUGCAUUCCCCAGGAUUCUCCAACCCAGAUCACGCACAAAGACCAAAAAAAAAACAGUCAUGAACUCCUGCACACCCAACAACUAACCUCACAUGAAUUCCCAAACAAAGUUCCGAAACAUGUCUCAGACGAGGAAUAUCUUUCUUAAGAUGACAAGGAAUAUCUCUCUCAAACUCAUCAAGGAUUGGCAAAAAUGCAGCAAGUGAUAAAAAAACCACCUUUUAACUAGCAGACAUGAAGAUCUAAGUGAUAAAGGCAGCAUAGCUACAACAACAGCCAAACAGUUCAAAAUUCACAUCUUAUAGCCUUCGAUUCUCAUGCAAAAUAGUGUUAACACAUCCAAGAAAGAGGCUAGGAUUACCUUGAAGCUUUUGUAAAGCAGGAAUAAACGUGAAAAUCCUCCAAGAGAUCACGACAAUCUGGAAACGCAGCUCAAGAAGACUUGCUGCAGAAAUUUCAGCGCUGACAAAAUCAGCACUUUGGGUCGCGAUUUGAGAGGGUUAGAGGGAUUUUUGCUGAGCGAUUUCUGGUAUCCAUAGAUGGUGCAGCAAGAAAAUCUCCUCAAAAGGAGGUCGGGAUUUGUUGAAAUAGGGUGAUGAACAGAAUAGAUUCAUCAAUCCUAGCUCAACUUUCUGCAGAAAAAUUUCUGCACUUUUCUCUCCUCUCUUGAUCCUCAACCGUCACCUCCUCUCCACCUCUCUCUCUCGGUUUUUUUCCUU